UGCAUCAUUACAUGCAUAUAUAUUCUCUCAUAUGGAUGCAACAAUGUCCAACCAUUUCAAGAGUUUAGGUUAAAAGCAUUUGUGUUGGAGCAAAUAUCAUCAUGAAGCUAAGAAGCAUUCUUCUUAUUGUGUGGGCUUUGUUUGCUCUCAUCAGCCACACAUAUGGGGAAAUCCGUUUUUGCCCAAAAGAAAUGACGUUGGAUGGGUCAUGUCCACUUGGGACUUCAGGACAAAGCUGCUUUCUUGAAUUCCUUGAUAGAUUGGGAGCAAGUGCCAUGCCUAUGAAUUGCUCUUGUAAAGAUGAUCGUACCAAGAAUAAACGCCUAUGCACUUGUAAUGUUGUGUGUAGAACAUGAGACAAUUUUGCAGCAGUCCAAAUUAAUCAUAAAAUAAAAAAUGUGUACUGAUCUUGUAUUUACACAUGUUGAGAAUUUUGAAAAGCCAUGAUCACCUACUGUUCGAUCCAGUUAUUAUAGUUAAUGAUAUUUUCAAUUUGUUGCCUAAA
Molecule: long non-coding RNA, 505 nt
Organism: Glycine soja
Lineage: Eukaryota; Viridiplantae; Streptophyta; Magnoliopsida; Fabales; Fabaceae
Exons: 2
Source: RefSeq, a predicted model, not a curated record